This is a long non-coding RNA of Pectinophora gossypiella (pink bollworm), 1835 nucleotides long. RefSeq lists it as uncharacterized. NCBI's taxonomy places the organism in Eukaryota, Metazoa, Arthropoda, Insecta, Lepidoptera, Gelechiidae. The record is from RefSeq and is a predicted model, not a curated record. The transcript has 3 exons.
UGUAAUCUCUAUUACAGAGGUACAUUACGUAUCAUCGUAAAUGCGAAGUUUUUUAGACAUAGAAGGUGUUAUUGGGUGUCCGAUUAUUUGACAAAAAACAAAUAAUACACUUUCAUUUGAAAAACAACAUUUGUCAAAACUAUAUUAGAUAAAUGUAUCAUAUUACAAACUAUUGUUUAAUAAACUACUCAUUAGACAAUAUAUUUACAAAAAAAAUAAUUAUUACGCUAAAACAUUAAUUUACAAAUUGAUUAUUUUUUAAACAUGUUAGAUGGCAAAACAACGUAAAGCAAAAAUAACAUUUGACAAAAUGCAUUGCUUGGUUAGGUUAGAACUGCGACCACAACGCACGAGCCAAGCGAGCGAAGCGAGCGUGCCGCGGCAGCGGCCGGCGAGUGCCAGAACCGAAUUCUACUUAUUUCACUUAAUUCACGUAAUUCUUUAAAUGCAGUGGUAAACAGUUCCAAAUCUUCGAUAUAAUGUAUUUACUAGUACGUUGUCCGUAAAAAUUAAGGUAACGAGGUACCCUUAAUUUAUCCAUAUCGACAGAUCUGGUCCAUUUCUUUUGUACAAUCCUUUCCUUUAUGUCUUCAUUAAAAUAGUGUUCUAACAAAAUGAUGUAAUUAAUUUUUUUAUGGAUUGGAAGUACAUUACAAAAAGUAAAAAUUUUCUCUUCAUCUUGUUUCAGUUGCUCUUUAGUUGUAUACGGUAUAAUAGCUUUUAAUAACCUUAGUUGUAGCUGAUAUAUAUCAUUAAUAUAAGUGAAGAAUGUCCUACCAUAACAGUUUAACCCGUAACUUAUUAUUGAAUCGGCUAAUGCAUUAUAUAACAUCAAAAGAGUACUAUAUGGUAACCUAUAUUUAAGGAUUUUGAACUUAGCCAACACAGCUCUAAGCUUUAAUAAUUUAUUUUAACAGUUGAAUUAUUUUCUAAGUAAAACAUUUGCGGAAUCUGUAUUAUGUCAUAUGAUUGUUUUUAAAGUAAUAUGUUUGCGAAAUGAAAGUUUGUCAAAUGAUUAGUUUUCCAAACGUUGUUUGUAAAAUGAUUAAUGUAGUUAGUCAUAUUGCUAUCUAGACAACCUGAGACCAAACCAAAGAAUAAGGAAUAAUACUGCGUAUAGAACGGCAACUCUCCGCUCCCCACCAGCGGCUGAGCUAGGUUUACCUCACCCCCUUCGGUCUUACUUUAGUCUUCAAUCGUAUGGGCGUCAGGCGUCCCACACGUGUGCGUGUACGAGAAUGUCCAUGUGUAAUGUCUUGUAAAAGGAAGUGUUUUAUAUGAAGUGUCCGGGAAGUGACCAAACCCUAUUUUCUGUACUUUAGAAUCUUUUUUCAAGUCAAUUUUUUCAGUUCACUUUACACUGUACAAUACAGUAGUAAAACAUCAAUAUUGAAACGAUCUGGUUUAACCCAAUUUCCUAUUAAUAGAGUCCACACUAAAAUUGCAAUCGUUAACGACCACCCCCACAUAAGCGAUCAGAGGUGGGGUAAAUAAGCGUUUUGAAGGGGCCUCGUAAAUCGGGGCCUUCCGCCCAAGUUCAGGCCCCAAUAAUGGGCUGUUCCUACGAAAUGUGGCCCCAAAUGUACCAAUUUACCCUUUGCAACGCCCGCCGCGCAUCUUCAGGGUAAAGAGGCCAUUCAAUCUCCAACCGGGUAAGGGUCACGUUAUUUUUUAAAUGAAAUCCUUUGAUGAAGUCCCAAACUGUUGCCAGGUAUAUUUUUUUCGGUUGUUUUUCCUUGUUUUAGCUAUCUGUUGCGGUGUUUUCUUUAGAGCCCCUUCUAUUUUAGCCUGGUAAUUAUGCGGCAAACCAGAUUUCGCUCAUUUUUUAAAAUCAA